CUCCUACGGGAGGCAGCAGUCGAGAAUCAUUCACAAUGGGCGAAAGCCUGAUGGUGCGACGCCGCGUGGGGGAGGAAGGUCUUCGGAUUGUAAACCCCUGUCAUGCAGGAGCAAGACGCAAGUUUGAUAGUACUGCAAGAGGAAGAGACGGCAAACUCUGUGCCAGCAGCCGCGGUAAUA
This 180-nucleotide ribosomal RNA is filed under the name uncultured bacterium. Its description in RNAcentral is "partial 16S ribosomal RNA". It matches the Rfam family "Bacterial small subunit ribosomal RNA", at positions 336 to 525 of the family's 1533-position model. The record is from RNAcentral.